This 253-nucleotide ribosomal RNA is filed under the name uncultured bacterium. Its description in RNAcentral is "partial 16S ribosomal RNA". It matches the Rfam family "Bacterial small subunit ribosomal RNA", at positions 524 to 776 of the family's 1533-position model. The record is from RNAcentral.
UACGAAGGGGGCUAGCGUUGUUCGGAAUUACUGGGCGUAAAGCGCACGUAGGCGGCUUUGUAAGUCAGGGGUGAAAUCCCGGGGCUCAACCUCGGAACUGCCUUUGAUACUGCAAAUCUCGAGUCCGGAAGAGGUGAGUGGAAUUCCUAGUGUAGAGGUGAAAUUCGUAGAUAUUAGGAAGAACACCAGUGGCGAAGGCGGCUCACUGGUCCGGUACUGACGCUGAGGUGCGAAAGCGUGGGGAGCAAACAGG